This 328-nucleotide unclassified non-coding RNA is filed under the name soil metagenome. RNAcentral describes it as "partial contains 5.8S ribosomal RNA, internal transcribed spacer 2, and large subunit ribosomal RNA". The stretch from base 1 to 120 matches the Rfam family "5.8S ribosomal RNA", at positions 35 to 154 of the family's 154-position model. The record is from RNAcentral.
GAUGAAGAACGCAGUGAAAUGCGAUAAGUAAUGUGAAUUGCAGAAUUCAGUGAAUCAUCGAAUCUUUGAACGCACAUUGCGCCCCUUGGUAUUCCGAGGGGCAUGCCCGUUCGAGCGUCAUUAUACCCCUCAAGCCUAGCUUGGUGUUGGGGCCUGCUGUUACCGGCAGCCCUUAAAAUCAGUGGCGGUGCCAUCUGGCUCUAAGCGUAGUAAUACUUCUCGCUACAGGGUCCCGGUGGAUGCUUGCCAUCAACCCCUAAUUUUCUAUGGUUGACCUCGGAUCGGGUAGGGAUACCCGCUGAACUUAAGCAUAACAAUAAGCGGAGGA